GACUGUCUUCACUGCAGCCUGAACACCUGAAGAAGAAGAAGAAGAAGAAGAAGAAGACUCACCUCUCUCUAGGAACAAACCAACAGCAGAGAUUAGUGAUGGCGAAGCUGUGGCUGAUGGCGGCUCUGCUGCUCUUAUCUGCGUCUGCUGGGAGUUCUUUGGAGAAUCCUGUGAACCCUCAGGUGGACCAGAACAAAAAUUUGGCUCCUUUUCAAAGACCAGACGAGACCCAAAUUAAACAAAUCGUCAACUACCUCUGGAACAA
Pungitius pungitius (ninespine stickleback) is the source of this 265-nucleotide long non-coding RNA. RefSeq lists it as uncharacterized. NCBI's taxonomy places the organism in Eukaryota, Metazoa, Chordata, Actinopteri, Perciformes, Gasterosteidae. The record is from RefSeq and is a predicted model, not a curated record. The transcript has 3 exons.